RNAcentral lists this ribosomal RNA (550 nucleotides) under uncultured bacterium. RNAcentral's name for it is "partial 16S ribosomal RNA". It matches the Rfam family "Bacterial small subunit ribosomal RNA", at positions 355 to 895 of the family's 1533-position model. The record is from RNAcentral.
UGGGGAAUUUUGGACAAUGGGCGAAAGCCUGAUCCAGCAAUGCCGCGUGUGUGAAGAAGGCCUUCGGGUUGUAAAGCACUUUUGUCCGGAAAGAAAUCCUUGGCUCUAAUACAGUCGGGGGAUGACGGUACCGGAAGAAUAAGCACCGGCUAACUACGUGCCAGCAGCCGCGGUAAUACGUAGGGUGCAAGCGUUAAUCGGAAUUACUGGGCGUAAAGCGUGCGCAGGCGGUUUGCUAAGACCGAUGUGAAAUCCCCGGGCUCAACCUGGGAACUGCAUUGGUGACUGGCAGGCUAGAGUAUGGCAGAGGGGGGUAGAAUUCCACGUGUAGCAGUGAAAUGCGUAGAGAUGUGGAGGAAUACCGAUGGCGAAGGCAGCCCCCUGGCAAGUACUGACGCUCAUGCACGAAAAGCGUGGGGAGCAAACAGGAUUAGAUACCCUGGUAGUCCACGCCCUAAAACGAUGUCAACUAGUUGUUGGGGGAUUCAUUUCCUUAGUAACGUAGCUAACGCGUGAAGUUGACCGCCUGGGGGAGUACGGUCGCAAGAUU